AGCUAAGUGAGCUACUUUAAAAUAGCCCCAGAGCCAACCCAUCUCUGUUGCAAUAGAGUGGGAUAAUUUUUAAGUAGAGGUGAUAAACCUAUCGAACUUAGAGAUAGCUGGUUUUUUAAGAAAAGAUUUUUAGUUCAGCCCUGAGUCUUCUAUUACACAAGAAUUAAACUAAACUCAGGAGUUAUUCAAAUAAGGCACAGCUUAUUUGAAACAGGAUACAACCUAGAAAAAAGGGUAAGACAAAUUUAAUCUCUGACAAGUGGGCCUGAAAGCAGCCACCUUUUAAAAAGCGUCAAAGCUUAACAUUAAUAAUUUUCUUAAUAUCUAAAUUAAUUUCUAACCCUUAUUUACUAUUAAAAAACUCCAUAAAAUUAUGGAAGUUAUUAUGCUAGAACAAGUAACAAGAAAAAGACUUUCUCCAAAAUGUAAGCUUAAGCCACAACAGACAAACUGAUGGCAAUUAACGUUUAUGAGUCACUUGUAGUAACACCAACAGGAAAACUCUACAUGAGUUCUAACGUCA
RNAcentral lists this ribosomal RNA (523 nucleotides) under Boophis elenae. RNAcentral describes it as "partial 16S ribosomal RNA". The stretch from base 1 to 392 matches the Rfam family "Bacterial large subunit ribosomal RNA", at positions 719 to 1300 of the family's 2925-position model. The record is from RNAcentral. Lineage: Eukaryota; Metazoa; Chordata; Amphibia; Anura; Mantellidae.